UCACUUGUCCCUUAAAUGGGGACGCGUAUGAAAGGCAACAUGAGAGAGAACCUGUCUCCUAAGGAAUGCCAAUGAAAUUGAACUGCCAGUUCAAAAGCUGGUAUAAAAAAGCAAGACAAAAAGACCCUGUGGAACUUUAAUUAACUGCUUUACAUAAUAAAACCAGUAAUUUCAGUUGGGACAACUUUAGAAAAAAUAAACUUCCUAAUUUUACUAGACUAACUAGUCCAAAACAACCAUGACCCAGUAGUACUGAUUAACGAAACAAGCUACCCCAGGGAUAACAGCGCUACCUUCUCAAAGAGUUCAUAUCAACAAGAAGAUCUACGACCUCGAUGUUGGAUCAGGGUACCCAGACGGUG
RNAcentral lists this ribosomal RNA (362 nucleotides) under Furcifer lateralis (carpet chameleon). Its description in RNAcentral is "partial 16S small subunit ribosomal RNA". It matches the Rfam family "Bacterial large subunit ribosomal RNA", at positions 1965 to 2555 of the family's 2925-position model. The record is from RNAcentral. Lineage: Eukaryota; Metazoa; Chordata; Lepidosauria; Squamata; Chamaeleonidae.